RNAcentral lists this long non-coding RNA (328 nucleotides) under Eutrema salsugineum. RNAcentral's name for it is "long non-coding RNA (ESAL_LNC000798)". The record is from RNAcentral. Lineage: Eukaryota; Viridiplantae; Streptophyta; Magnoliopsida; Brassicales; Brassicaceae.
AAAAAGGAUGGUCCCUCACUGCUCGGUCCAGCAGGAACCAAGGAGAAGCAAGGACGGGCCGCAAUAAAAGCCCCCGCGGUCGAAGAUGCUCUGACCGCGAGAAACGCAUGAUCGACCGCGGCUGCGUCUUUCUGAUCGCGGCCGAGCACCACUUCACCGCAGUCGCGUGACCUCUGACCGCGGUGAAUGGUCGUUGAGACGAAACCCGACCCCAAACCACCCACUUCACCUCAUUCCACCUCACCAAUCCCCACUCCACCUCAUUCAUCACUUCCCACCACCUUCAUCACCACCUAUCACAUUCCCAAACCUCUUCGAAUGAAUCCGG